Non-coding RNA from Nomia melanderi (Alkali bee), 3050 nucleotides. The record is from RefSeq and is a predicted model, not a curated record. Lineage: Eukaryota; Metazoa; Arthropoda; Insecta; Hymenoptera; Halictidae.
UUGACGAGAGUCGGCCGGCCGCCGGUUAGCAGGUUCAGGCAACACGAAAAUCGCCGGGCUUUUCCCUGCGCUUUCUCCGGAAGCGAGGCACACGCUCGUUGUAGGACAUGCGUGGGAAUUGUAUGCGCAAACAAUUCAUCCGGCGUGUCGCCGACGGACCACGCGAGUAGGCGUCCGCGAAAGACGAGUGACCGGAAAACGCGUGCUUGUGCGGAGGCAGGAGAACAAGCGGGCACGCGAACUUAAAAACGAGCAAAAUACAUUUUAAGAGAGCAGUCAAGCCGGUUAUGAGAAGAAAUCUGUUGCGAACAGGCCUCGGACACGAUUCAUUGGAGACAUUACCAGCGUUACUUUGCAUGUUUCGUUCUGUUCGAGUGCCCUCUGAAUAAAAAUCAGACGAGUUACAGUUUCUCGGUCUCCUGUUUCAGGCCCUCGCGUCCCAAAGGAACUUUACGGCGUCAUUUUCAUUAAGACACAACUACGGGACAAAUAAUACUUUGUUCCCUCAAAGAAAAAAAAAAGAAACAAUACUCAAACUAUCACCCGCGAAGGGUUAAGAGAGCAAGCAAACAAAUUGAAACGCGUCGAAGUAGGAAGACCAAUCGCCACGCUAAUCGCGCGUGUACUGGAUGUCAGAGUAUUAGAAAAGGAAAUCAGUUAAUUACGGAACGAUUCGAAUGAGAAGUAGGCCAAAACCGAAGGACCAGUCCCUCGCCGCAGUCUCGAGCUUCUCGUUUCUUGGAGCCCGUUCUGCCAACGGAAUCGAACGAAUUCUCUCGGAUUUCCAAGCGGUUUCUUAGGCUCCGCUGGGCUGCUGCGACCUGAACGUUCGGAUAUCACCGGUGAGUGGACUCUUCUACGGUGACACGGGUCGGUCCAAGUAGGGUCUUGGUGAAGUAGUCGAACACAACUCCGUUGCAAAGUGAAAUGAAACGCGUACGGAAACGAAGUCGGGAAACCGGCGUGCGAGCGGAACGGAUGGCUGAACGGUCCUCUUUCUUUUUCACGUGGUUACGAACGGUGCGGUAUAUGUCACCGGACCGUUGGGUUUGCCGAGGGUCACGAACGAUGCUUGUUCAUUCUCUGUGUGUUUCUUUUUGCCUUUCUUUUGUUUUUGGUUUGAUUCGUUACGACACUUACGGACUAGGAAUCCCGUGGUUGGAUCGAAACUAGUGUCCAAUUUGUCUGAUAGACGCAAGAGAGGUUUUUUGACGAAGUACCCUCUUGGCUGAUCGCCGGCGCGAGUCGCGCGAUCUGACCUCCUCGUCCGUUCGACUGCGUCUGAAAGGACCGGCGCAAGUGUCAUCCGACCAUACGUUGCCGACGAGCCGGCACGGCGCGGCGCGCGUGCGCCACGCUCAGCCUCGUGCGUUUCACGUGAUUCGGACGGAUCCACGAAUCAGGGGGCCUCGGGGCCCACGUGUACGCAUUCUUACACGGUGCUGGCGACAAACUUGAUUCGUGGGCCAGAAGUUAAUAAGAAUCGGGAAAAGGGAACGACAGCCGAUCGUUGACCGACCACCGGUUUUUACCUGAAUUUUUACUGCAAAACCCUCUAUCCAGAUACCCCAACGAACGGAACACGAAGAAAGUUGAUUGCCGCAUGACUCCCUCUCGGCCCGUUACCUCCUGAACGCACUUUAAAGCACCGCUUUCAUCGGACCGCUCCGCUCGGGCAUAGAUAUCGGGCUAGGAUUUUUCAGGGGAUCCGAUUCAAAUCACGUUUCGACGCCGCUUACGCGUCGACGCGUAGGUACGCUGCCGUACGAAAAUUGCGUAUCUAAGCUAUCAUGUAAACAGUGUGUUGAAGUAGGUAUCUAGAGUAAAGAUAGCAGCAAUAAAAAUGACAUAACUCGGGGUAUGAGGGUUAAACGCGAAAGCGUGAUUCUUAUUGGCAAUCAUUUUGUAAAAACACGCUUACGAAUCGCUGAUAUAGUAAAUACGUAACGAGGACCGUUCUUAUCUUAUUGAAAAUUAUAUGAUAAUCCAAAGAUGCAAGUAACGCGUAUGCGGCGGAGGAGAUGUAUGUAUUUCUUUUGCAAACGCUGACCUAUGAUAGAAUCGAGAAUUUCUAUUUAUAGAAUUGCCCAAGGGUAGACGAAAUUAAUAUUUAAUAUAGAAUCUGCCGUUUAUUUUCGAACUAGUCUCUACCGGUUCUACUCUGUAGAAAAACAUUUAAUUCGCGACACGCGCGAAAUGUGACCAACGAAACCGAGGAACAUCGUUCCCCUGUUGUUAAACAAAUAGAUGCGAUUAUGAAUCGCAUUGGUUUCGGAAACAGCCCUUUUCCUUGUAUGAAUCAGAGCAAACACGAAUGAGUAUUCAAGGGAUUCACGCAGCGGGGUGCAACCGUUAAGAUUGUCCGUUCCUAACGCCUGUUUAGAGGGACAAUGAGUCACUGGAACUGAAAGUGAAAUGAUUCGAAUCGUCGAAAGAGAGAGAGAGAGAGAGAGUAAUUUAUAAUGUUUGUCGCCGGAUCCGUAAAUUCGUGUUAAUCGGUACUUUAUAUAUGAAACAGUGUUGCGCCACAAAAGUAAUGUUCGCCGAUAAGAAUUUGUAAACAGAGUUGGUCUACGACCGUAGAAAGAAAUUUGUUCGCUGGGUAGCCGCUCUAUUGCCGGGCACGGAUUAGACGGCGCAGGUAUAAACGAGCCCUCUCGGGGUAACACGACACGCCGCCAUGUUAGCUCGGACGCAAAGACGUCUAUUAUAUUCUAACGUGCUCCGUUAAGUCCAUUGUCGCGCCGCGAGAGAGAGAUUACAAACGCCUAAAACCCGAUACCUCUUGCUCGGGAAGCUCGAAACUGUGAAGACAUACUCGCCGCGAAGGACAAUGUCGACUCCCGGUAAUUUUUCCGCCGUUCAAACAAACAAACCGCCGCUGCGAGCCGUUUCGUCUCCCGUCUGGCAAUCGUUAUCGCGCGAUUUUAUUGAAACACCGAUUUUUACGAGAAGUUAAUCGCGAGGCGAGGAUACGGCAAAAUAAAAUGUACGAUGGACGUAACGAUAAAAAGAAUCUUCUUUCUUUUUUUUUGUUUUCUUCCUUUCUU